UUUCCGUAGGUGAACCUGCGGAAGGAUCAUUACAGAGCAUAUGCCAUUCGGGGUAGAUCUCCCACUCUUUGUUGAUAUUAUCUUUGUUGCUUUGACAGGCCCGACUUCGGACCAUCGGCUUCGGCUGGUCAGUGCUUGCCAGAGUACCCAAAACUCUUCUUAUUAAGGUCGUCUGAGUACUAUAUAAUAGAUAAAAAUUUCAACAACGGAUCUCUUGGUUCUG
RNAcentral lists this unclassified non-coding RNA (223 nucleotides) under plant metagenome. Its description in RNAcentral is "partial contains small subunit ribosomal RNA, internal transcribed spacer 1, and 5.8S ribosomal RNA". The record is from RNAcentral.